AUACUUACCUGAUAGGAGAGAUACUGUGAUCAUUAAGACAGUAUUCUCAGGGCGAGGCCUACCCAUUGCACUUCAGGGGGGAAGGUUGACCCUUGCGAUUUUCCCCAGAUGUGGGAAACUCAACUGUACAAUUUGAGGAGUGC
Small nuclear RNA from Eptatretus burgeri (inshore hagfish), 143 nucleotides. Its record names the gene U1. It matches the Rfam family "U1 spliceosomal RNA". Rfam says of the family: U1 is a small nuclear RNA (snRNA) component of the spliceosome (involved in pre-mRNA splicing). Its 5' end forms complementary base pairs with the 5' splice junction, thus defining the 5' donor site of an intron. There are significant differences in sequence and secondary structure between metazoan and yeast U1 snRNAs, the latter being much longer (568 nucleotides as compared to 164 nucleotides in human). NCBI's taxonomy places the organism in Eukaryota, Metazoa, Chordata, Myxini, Myxiniformes, Myxinidae. The record is from Ensembl.